Molecule: transfer RNA, 22 nt
Filed under: Flexiseps melanurus (Spotted skink)
Lineage: Eukaryota; Metazoa; Chordata; Lepidosauria; Squamata; Scincidae
Also listed under: 11 other names
Description: partial tRNA-Met
Source: RNAcentral
AGUAAAGUCAGCUAAUUAAGCU